UUUUGCUUCCGGGAGACGGGAGCGUUUCCUGUUGCUGUGGCGGCGGCUCCCGGGACCGAGUGCAACCGGCGGCUCCCCGGGGAGUCUGAUUGUGCAGUGAAUGUCCAUAAGAACUGCAAGAAUUUACUGGCUGAAUGCAGCAGCAUCAGACCCAAGAAAGAUUUGCAGCACAGACCUUCUGGAUCUCCACAAAGUUCGUCCCAGUGCAUUUCCCCAGGUUUGUACUAAAGAAUGAUUUCUGUGCUCAAGGCUUAUCUGUUCAAUUGUAUUUUUUUUCU
Molecule: long non-coding RNA, 278 nt
Filed under: Dromaius novaehollandiae (emu)
Lineage: Eukaryota; Metazoa; Chordata; Aves; Casuariiformes; Dromaiidae
Description: lncRNA (ENSDNVG00000012672.1)
Source: RNAcentral